CGGGUGCGUAACGCGUGGGAAUCUGCCCCUUGGUUCGGAAUAACAGUUAGAAAUGACUGCUAAUACCGGAUAACAUCGCGAGAUCAAAGAUUUAUCGCCGAGGGAUGAGCCCGCGUAGGAUUAGCUAGUUGGUGAGGUAAUGGCUCACCAAGGCGACGAUCCUUAGCUGGUCUGAGAGGAUGAUCAGCCACACUGGGACUGAGACACGGCCCAG
RNAcentral lists this ribosomal RNA (214 nucleotides) under uncultured bacterium. Its description in RNAcentral is "partial 16S ribosomal RNA". It matches the Rfam family "Bacterial small subunit ribosomal RNA", at positions 103 to 334 of the family's 1533-position model. The record is from RNAcentral.